Molecule: long non-coding RNA, 588 nt
Organism: Perca flavescens (yellow perch)
Lineage: Eukaryota; Metazoa; Chordata; Actinopteri; Perciformes; Percidae
Exons: 7
Source: RefSeq, a predicted model, not a curated record
GGAGCACAUGGUGCAGGACUGCACUCAACUGGUGGCAAAUAUGGAGGAGGAGCUGCUCAGGUUCCUUACGGUAAUGCUCCAGUGAUUCCUACUGGACUGGAGGGAGAUGGCGGCUACCCGUAUCCUGCUCAGCAGCUCAACCUUGGUGCUGAAGGCACCAAAACCGCCAACAAAUAUGGAGCUGGAACAGGAUAUGGAGCUCAGCAAACAGGUUAUGGUGCACAGCUGGGAGCAACUCAAGAUGCUUUGGGAGAGCAAGCUGGCAAAUAUGGCGGAGUAAACGGUGCCCUUGGAAAUGGAUACAAAGGUUAAUUCAAAUGACCUGGACUUCUUUAAGUGGAUCAUUUCCAUAAUGUGUUCAGUGUAAUGUGUUUUAAAGCUUUUUGUGCGUUUCAUCUUAUUGGGUCCUGUUGUGUUGUCUUGUGCUUUAUUUUUCGUAACCUCUGUGUCUUUCUCUGUAAGUGGACAUUUGUCUUGUUUGUCCAAAACCUGCAGUGCCCCACCAGUCUUAUUCUGUCAACACUGGAAAAAAAUGGUGGUGAUUGAUUUGCCUCAAUGUUUUAAAAUUAAAAUGAUGAUUCAACUGUU